This 307-nucleotide ribosomal RNA is filed under the name uncultured bacterium. RNAcentral's name for it is "bacterial SSU rRNA". It matches the Rfam family "Bacterial small subunit ribosomal RNA", at positions 28 to 334 of the family's 1533-position model. The record is from RNAcentral.
GAUGAACGCUGGCGGCGUGCUUAACACAUGCAAGUCGAACGAUGAAGCCCAGCUUGCUGGGUGGAUUAGUGGCGAACGGGUGAGUAACACGUGAGUAACCUGCCCUUAACUCUGGGAUAAGCCUGGGAAACUGGGUCUAAUACCGGAUAGGAGCGCCUACCGCAUGGUGGGUGUUGGAAAGAUUUAUCGGUUUUGGAUGGACUCGCGGCCUAUCAGCUUGUUGGUGAGGUAAUGGCUCACCAAGGCGACGACGGGGUAGCCGGCCUGAGAGGGUGACCGGCCACACUGGGACUGAGACACGGCCCAG